GGCCCUCAAAUAUGUCCACAUGGAUGAAGUCCCCAUGCCAGCCUGCUGCCUGGAAGGCCAAGGGUGCCUGCCAGCUCUGUGUGUAUCUUCUAGACGUUCCAGAACUGAUGUCAGAUUUGGCUCAUCAGAGUCCACAGACCAUAUCGGUGAAGAAGAUGAAUAGGAUUCCUGUUUAACCCAGAGACACCUAUGUUAAAUGUUUACAUACAGACUAACCCAAAUAUGCAAUUAAACCACACCACUAAAUGGCAAGAUGACCAUGGAUUUAAACAAAAUGUAUCAGGGGGAAAAGGCAACACGUUUAAACCCAUGUGAGGAGCUGGACUUCUGAGACAGCCAUUCUCCUUGCAUAGCACUGUCUGCUGCUACAGCUCAUAGAAGUCAACAAUUUUCUUCAACACUGGUAGGCAGCCUUUAAAUGGCCCUGAUCACCCUCACCUCCUGCCAUUCACACCCUUGUAAAAUUCCACCCCUGGACCUAGUGACUCACUUCUAACAAAGAGAAUACAGCAAAAGUAACAUCGCUUCUGAGGUGAGGCUACAAGGAGACUACGAUGCCUGCCUUGGUCACCCUUCUCCUGCUCUUUCCAUUGCUCCCUCUGAUGGAAGCCAGUUGCCAUGUGAUGAGGUGCCCUAUGGAGAGGCCCACGUGACAAGGUAUUGUAAAAGGCCUCUGACCAAUGGCCAUCUAGAAACGGAGGCCCAGUCCAGCAGCCUCUGAGAUGAAUCCUGCCAACCUGAUCUUGGAGACAGAUUCUCUCCCUAUCCUGCCUUGGGAUGAUCACAGCCACCACCAACACCUUCACUGCCUGGUGAGAGGCCAAGCCAGUGAACCCAAGGUAAACUGGACAGAAUCCUGACCCACAGAAACUGAGAUAAUGUUUGUUAUUUUAAGCUGCUCAGUUUGUUACAGAGCAAUAGAUAACUAACUCAAACACCAUAAAAUUCUAAUAUUUUAUUCUAUCACACAAACCAGGUAAUACCAAGUAAAUGCCAUUACUAUACAUAUAUUUUUGUAACACAAUUACAUGUGAUUUUUUAAAAAAGCUAAUGAACUAUGCAUUAUGUGCUUUCACCCACUAACAGACAUUUCUGCUGUUACUUUGUACUGUUCUCUAUUAUAAAUUGGGGGAAAACCAUUAUUAUUAUAUAUUAGCUUCAGAAUAACUAGGUUGAAGUCACAGAAAACAAUUUUGCACAAACAACUUUAGGCAACACUGCUUUGAAAACUGUAAUCUGAAUUAAAGCUGAAGCCACAGAAACCAAA
RNAcentral lists this long non-coding RNA (1267 nucleotides) under Homo sapiens (human). Its description in RNAcentral is "HSALNT0382704". Lineage: Eukaryota; Metazoa; Chordata; Mammalia; Primates; Hominidae. The record is from RNAcentral.